CAGUUGUAGUUUUUUUUCUCAUUUCUAUUUAUUCUUAUUAUACAUUAUUUAUAUAUACAUAUUUUAGUAUUUACAUUUUAACAUUCUAUAUUCAGUGGAGUUCUAUAUUUCCAAUCAUUUAACUUACUCACUAAAAUUUCUGUGUAAAUUUGUUGUUUUCGUACUGGUGUGCUUAGCAUUGUUGUUAGUUUUUUAUUCUCCUUUCUUAAAUUUCUGAAAAUGUCAAUUUUUCAAAAUUUACAGCUGCCCAAACUCCAAAAUGAUGGUAGAGAAUUGACCAAGAAAAAUAAAGAAAUCUGUUAACAGGCCAUGUAUGCCUUUUUAAUUCCUAUUUUUUCCUCUUUUUCAAUUUUUUAAUAUUUCAUAUAUUUUGUAUCACUAGGCAGAAGACAUUUAACUAUUUAGAGAUUGCAUGGUAAAGUAGUUAGUAUUGUUACAGUAAUUUAUAGAAUCAGUAAACCUUAGAGGACACUAGUAAAUAGAAUAUUAGAAAGGGAAACUGUUGUUCCUAUUAAUCUUCAAAUUUGAGCAUUUAGUUUAGAAAGCACAGGCUAUUUGAUUAGGUUGCAUGUUUAUUACAUGUUUUUGUCCUACUGCUUUUUUCUAACAGGUAAAGAAGCAUUAGGGAGAGUUCAGGAAUGGUUGUAGUUAAUUAGGGCUAACUGGAAUUUUAUUUUAAAAAUGCUCACAAUACAGUGUGUGUGGUUCCUUUUAGUUUUUAUUUUGAGGGUGGCUCUUACUUCCCUCAUUUAGCUGUGCUUCUUUUCACAGGGAUGCCCGGGUAGUUAAAGACAUGGCAACUGGAAAAUCCAAAGGCUAUGGUUUUGUAUCUUUUUAUAACAAACUGGAUGCAGAAAAUGCGAUUGUGCAUAUGGGAGGUCAGUGGUUGGGUGGUCGUCAAAUCCGAACCAAUUGGGCCACACGUAAACCACCUGCACCUAAAAGUACACAAGAAAACAACACUAAGCAGUUGAGAUUUGAAGAUGUAGUAAACCAGUCAAGUCCAAAAAAUUGUACUGUGUACUGUGGAGGAAUUGCAUCUGGGUUAACAGAUCAGCUUAUGAGACAGACAUUCUCACCAUUUGGACAAAUUAUGGAAAUAAGAGUUUUCCCAGAAAAGGGCUAUUCAUUUGUCAGAUUUUCCACCCAUGAAAGUGCAGCCCAUGCCAUUGUUUCGGUGAACGGUACUACGAUUGAAGGACAUGUGGUUAAAUGCUAUUGGGGUAAAGAAUCUCCUGAUAUGACUAAAAACUUCCAACAGGUAAUUCAAUUUUUCAUAGCACUCUUUAAGGUUUCCAUCUUACAUGUCACAUAAAAGCUUUGGAAACUCUGUAAAAUAAACAAUAAAAUAAAGCAUAUAGCUACUUUCAGUUGAUUGUAUUUCAAAAUUGAUUAUUUGCGGUAUUAACUGAAUCUUAAUACUUUCUUUUCACAGGUGUCACCACCCCAAUAAACUUAGACAAUGAUAAAUAACAGAGUCCUAUUCACAUAAGGGUGCUUACUUAGUUUUUCUCUUCCUUGUCUCCCACUCUUUCUUCAUAUACGGUGUUUCUUACGUGUUCCCU
This 1565-nucleotide small RNA is filed under the name Pongo abelii (Sumatran orangutan). Its description in RNAcentral is "retained intron". The record is from RNAcentral. Lineage: Eukaryota; Metazoa; Chordata; Mammalia; Primates; Hominidae.